AUUGAACGCUGGCGGCAUGCCUUACACAUGCAAGUCGAACGGCAGCACGGGUGCUUGCACCUGGUGGCGAGUGGCGAACGGGUGAGUAAUACAUCGGAACGUACCUUAUCGUGGGGGAUAACGCAGCGAAAGCUGUGCUAAUACCGCAUACGCCCUGAGGGGGAAAGCGGGGGAUCGAAAGACCUCGCGCGAUUAGAGCGGCCGAUGCCUGAUUAGCUUGUUGGUGGGGUAAAAGCCCACCAAGGCGACGAUCAGUAGCUGGUCUGAGAGGACGAGCAGCCAGACUGGGACUGAGACACGGCCCAGACUCCUACGGGAGGCAGCAGUGGGGAAUUUUGGACAAUGGGGGCAACCCUGAUCCAGCAAUGCCGCGUGAGUGAAGAAGGCCUUCGGGUUGUAAAGCUCUUUUGUCAGGGAAGAAACACCGGCUCUAACGCAGUCCGGGAAUGACGGUACCUGAAGAAUAAGCACCGGCUAACUACGUGCCAGCAGCCGCCGCCG
This 501-nucleotide ribosomal RNA is filed under the name uncultured bacterium. Its description in RNAcentral is "partial 16S ribosomal RNA". It matches the Rfam family "Bacterial small subunit ribosomal RNA", at positions 29 to 523 of the family's 1533-position model. The record is from RNAcentral.